Molecule: ribosomal RNA, 377 nt
Filed under: uncultured eukaryote
Lineage: Eukaryota
Description: partial 18S ribosomal RNA
Rfam family: Eukaryotic small subunit ribosomal RNA
Source: RNAcentral
CAAUAGCGUAUAUUAAAGUUGUUGCAGUUAAAAAGCUCGUAGUUGGAUUUCGGGGUGGCCUGCCUGGUCCACCGCAAGGUGAGUACUGGUCAGCCGCCCUUCCUCUCGAAAGCCCCGACUGCUCUUCAUUGCAGUGGUCGGGUAGUUCGGGACGUUUACUUUGAAAAAAUUAGAGUGUUCAAGGCAGGCUCUCGCCUGAAUACAUUAGCAUGGAAUAAUGGAAGAGGACCUCGGUCCUAUUUUGUUGGUUUCUAGGGCCGAAGUAAUGAUUAAGAGGGACAGUUGGGGGCAUUCGUAUUUAAUUGUCAGAGGUGAAAUUCUCGGAUUUAUGAAAGACGAACAACUGCGAAAGCAUUUGCCAAGGAUGUUUUCAUUAA